Antechinus flavipes (yellow-footed antechinus) is the source of this 370-nucleotide long non-coding RNA. RefSeq lists it as uncharacterized. The record is from RefSeq and is a predicted model, not a curated record. The transcript has 3 exons. NCBI's taxonomy places the organism in Eukaryota, Metazoa, Chordata, Mammalia, Dasyuromorphia, Dasyuridae.
UGAGAUGUCAGUCAGAUAUCUACAGAUGCUCUCAUGUCUCUGUACCUGCUAUCAGCAUGAAGUAGGCAAUGUGGAUGUAAGAUGUUAUUUUUGUCCUAGGGUGUGGACCGAGUGAAGGCAUACAUCCCUGAUGCCAUCUGGUAUGACUAUGAGACAAAUGUAGCUAUUCUAGAGAGAAAGAAUUGGAUGGAGAUGUUUCUUCCUGGGGACAAGAUAGGACUUCACCUUCGAGGGGGCUACAUCUUCCCCACACAGGAGCCAGCUGAGACCACAGAAGCCAGUCGUAAAAAUCCUUUAGGAUUCAUCAUUGCCCUGGAUGACAAAAAAGAAGCAAAGGGAGAGCUGUUUUGGGAUGAUGGUGAAACAAUGG